GUUUACUCAGGGAGGAAAGACAAGCAACUGCGCUUGCUUCAGUAAUGGCGAAUGAACUGGCAACAGACAGGCUCAGCCUGAAUGGAAUCCAGCUGCAACAGUGUUGCAAUCGGCUUGUGUGUGAUUCAGCAGAUGCUGUGGGUUGAUGGAGUGGGUGGCGAGUCUGGUCAGCCAUGCACCAAGAAAGUCCCUGGAAUGGGCUACUACAAAAGGAUACUGUCCUGUAUGGUGCUGAGUGCUGUGGCCUGGCUGGGCUUUGCUGCCUGCAUCCAAGAGUAGAGUUGCUUGGGACUGCAGUUUGAAGUGCAGGGUGUAUCCUCUGCAAGGCAGAAUACUGACAUGGAACCGAUAGCGCACAAGUAGAGUGAUUGAAGGAUGCAAAGCACCUUGCAAAGGGGGUUCAACGUCCCUGAAGCCUCAGCAGGAACGGCGAAGAGUGGUGUUGUGGUUAUCUGGUCGCCAUCAGGCAGCCUGUUUCCAGUCUGGAUAGGCCUCUUCCCAGAGCCAUCCGCUGGCUGGCUGUCCUGAGACCAGGGUCUUCGGACCAAACGUUGGAAUCCAAGCAACCUUGGGCUGGCCCAGAGCUGGCUACUGAGCUCCAUCCCAGAUGUUGGAAUGCAUCGUGGCAGUUUGUGGUGACACUCAGCUUGCCUGAGCCUGAGGGUAGCAGAUCAGAGAUAUCACUAUGUUUGUCACAAAGAAGGCGAUCUCCAAUAGGAGAAAAGCAUCGUUGAGAGCUGUGCCAAGCCUGCUGUGUCUUCGGACAUGGCAGUGCAUUGUGCCUUGUAUGUUGAAGCUAGGCCUUGCUGCCUGUUGAACUGCACCAUCUUGAUGGUGGUUCACUGGUGGUGGAAGCUUUGCAGAGAGAGUGCAGUGCAGAUGGCAGUGAGCCUUGGUCUCMGGCCCCCUYUUGCCYUG
RNAcentral lists this ribosomal RNA (918 nucleotides) under Trachelomonas minor. RNAcentral's name for it is "partial large subunit ribosomal RNA". It matches the Rfam family "Eukaryotic large subunit ribosomal RNA", at positions 42 to 642 of the family's 3401-position model. Lineage: Eukaryota; Euglenozoa; Euglenophyceae; Euglenales; Euglenaceae. The record is from RNAcentral.